RNAcentral lists this ribosomal RNA (252 nucleotides) under uncultured bacterium. RNAcentral's name for it is "partial 16S ribosomal RNA". It matches the Rfam family "Bacterial small subunit ribosomal RNA", at positions 524 to 776 of the family's 1533-position model. The record is from RNAcentral.
UACGUAGGGGGCAAGCGUUGUCCGGAAUCAUUGGGCGUAAAGAGCGUGUAGGCGGCCUGGUAAGUCCGCUGUGAAAGUCCAGGGCUCAACCCUGGAAUGCCGGUGGAAACUGUCAGGCUCGAGUCCGGAAGAGGCGAGUGGAAUCCUGGUGUAGCGGUGAAAUGCGCAGAUAUCAGGAGGAACACCAAUGGCGAAGGCAGCUCGCUGGGACGGUACUGACGCUGAGACGCGAAAGCGUGGGGAGCAAACAGG